UACGUAGGGUGCAAGCGUUAUCCGGAUUCACUGGGUUUAAAGGGUGCGUAGGUGGGCAUGUAAGUCAGUGGUGAAAUCUCCGGGCUUAACCCGGAAACUGCCAUUGAUACUAUAUGUCUUGAAUACCAUGGAGGUGAGCGGAAUAUGUCAUGUAGCGGUGAAAUGCUUAGAUAUGACAUAGAACACCAAUUGCGAAGGCAGCUCACUACGCGGUUAUUGACACUGAGGCACGAAAGCGUGGGGAUCAAACAGG
Molecule: ribosomal RNA, 253 nt
Filed under: uncultured bacterium
Lineage: Bacteria
Description: partial 16S ribosomal RNA
Rfam family: Bacterial small subunit ribosomal RNA
Source: RNAcentral